CUACGGGUUGCAGCAGUGGGGAAUAUUACACAAUGGGGGGAACCCUGAUGCAGCAACGCCGCGUGGAGGAUGACGCAUUUCGGUGUGUAAACUCCUUUUAUAUGUCAAGAAAAUGACGGUAGCAUAUGAAUAAGCACCGGCUAACUCCGUGCCAGCAGCCGCGGUAAUACGGAGGGUGCAAGCGUUACUCGGAAUCACUGGGCGUAAAGGACGCGUAGGCGGGUUGGAAAGUCAGGUGUGAAAUCCUACAGCUUAACUGUAGAACUGAACUUGAAACUUCUAAUCUAGAGUAUGGGAGGGGGAGAUGGAAUUAGUGGUGUAGGGGUAAAAUCCGUAGAUAUCACUAGGAAUACCUAAAGCGAAGGCGAUCUCCUGGAACAUUACUGACGCUAAGGCGUGAAAGCGUGGGGAGCAAACAGGAUUAGAUACCCUUGUAGUC
Molecule: ribosomal RNA, 439 nt
Filed under: uncultured bacterium
Lineage: Bacteria
Description: partial 16S ribosomal RNA
Rfam family: Bacterial small subunit ribosomal RNA
Source: RNAcentral